GGAGAGGUGGCAGAGUGGUUGAAUGCACCGCACUCGAAAUGCGGCAUACCUGCAAGGGUAUCGGGGGUUCGAAUCCCCCCCUCUCCGCCA
Molecule: transfer RNA, 90 nt
Filed under: Mycoplana sp. BE70
Lineage: Bacteria; Pseudomonadati; Pseudomonadota; Alphaproteobacteria; Hyphomicrobiales; Rhizobiaceae
Description: tRNA-Ser
Rfam family: tRNA
About the family: Transfer RNA (tRNA) molecules are approximately 80 nucleotides in length.
Source: RNAcentral